Molecule: ribosomal RNA, 700 nt
Filed under: uncultured bacterium
Lineage: Bacteria
Description: bacterial SSU rRNA
Rfam family: Bacterial small subunit ribosomal RNA
Source: RNAcentral
CAUGCAAGUCGAACGGCAGCACGGGGGCAACCCUGGUGGCGAGUGGCGAACGGGUGAGUAAUACAUCGGAACGUGCCCAGUCGUGGGGGAUAACUACGCGAAAGCGUAGCUAAUACCGCAUACGAUCUCUGGAUGAAAGCGGGGGACCGCAAGGCCUCGCGCGAUUGGAGCGGCCGAUGGCAGAUUAGGUAGUUGGUGGGGUAAAGGCCUACCAAGCCUACGAUCUGUAGCUGGUCUGAGAGGACGACCAGCCACACUGGGACUGAGACACGGCCCAGACUCCUACGGGAGGCAGCAGUGGGGAAUUUUGGACAAUGGGCGCAAGCCUGAUCCAGCCAUUCCGCGUGCAGGAUGAAGGCCCUCGGGUUGUAAACUGCUUUUGUACGGAACGAAACGCGCUGAGCUAAUACCUCGGCGUAAUGACGGUACCGUAAGAAUAAGCACCGGCUAACUACGUGCCAGCAGCCGCGGUAAUACGUAGGGUGCAAGCGUUAAUCGGAAUUACUGGGCGUAAAGCGUGCGCAGGCGGUGAUGUAAGACAGAUGUGAAAUCCCCGGGCUCAACCUGGGAACUGCAUUUGUGACUGCAUCGCUGGAGUGCGGCAGAGGGGGAUGGAAUUCCGCGUGUAGCAGUGAAAUGCGUAGAUAUGCGGAGGAACACCGAUGGCGAAGGCAAUCCCCUGGGCCUGCACUGACGCUCA